GGCUGGCUCGGGCGCGUCCAGGGGAAUGGGCCGGUUCGGCCCAAUUCGGCCGGGCCGGUCCGUUUCUCCUUUUUUUUUUUCCCUUUUAGCCUUUUCUUUUUUUCUUUUUCGGUAAUUCCUUUCUAACUUGAUUCUGAACUCCAAAUUGGUCCAAAUAAAUUCCAGAAAAUUUCUAAAAUUCAUGUUUUAUCAUGAUUCAACUUUUGGGACAAAAUUCCCUCCAAAAUAAAAUAGCUAAAAUCAAUUUUGCCCUAUAAAUGCCUUUUAGGCUUGAUAACUAUUUAAAUAAAAUAGUUUUUCAACUCCAAAUAAUUAUCCAAAAAUUAUGGGAUAGCUUAUUUAUGCAAUAAACCCCUUUUGUAGUUAAACCCUAUU
This 375-nucleotide long non-coding RNA is filed under the name Brachypodium distachyon (stiff brome). RNAcentral describes it as "long non-coding RNA (BDIS_LNC005684)". Lineage: Eukaryota; Viridiplantae; Streptophyta; Magnoliopsida; Poales; Poaceae. The record is from RNAcentral.